RNAcentral lists this transfer RNA (74 nucleotides) under Pteropus alecto (black flying fox). It matches the Rfam family "tRNA". From Rfam's summary of the family: Transfer RNA (tRNA) molecules are approximately 80 nucleotides in length. Their secondary structure includes four short double-helical elements and three loops (D, anti-codon, and T loops). Further hydrogen bonds mediate the characteristic L-shaped molecular structure. tRNAs have two regions of fundamental functional importance: the anti-codon, which is responsible for specific mRNA codon recognition, and the 3' end, to which the tRNAs corresponding amino acid is attached (by aminoacyl-tRNA synthetases). tRNAs cope with the degeneracy of the genetic code in two manners: having more than one tRNA (with a specific anti-codon) for a particular amino acid; and 'wobble' base-pairing, i.e. permitting non-standard base-pairing at the 3rd anti-codon position. The record is from Rfam by way of RNAcentral. Lineage: Eukaryota; Metazoa; Chordata; Mammalia; Chiroptera; Pteropodidae. RNAcentral also lists the same sequence under 1 other name.
GGCUCCAUAGUGUAGUGGUUAGCACAUCUGCUUUACAUGCGGAAGUUCCUGGGUUUGCCUCCCAGGUGGAGCCA